This 237-nucleotide long non-coding RNA is filed under the name Salvator merianae (Argentine black and white tegu). RNAcentral's name for it is "lncRNA (ENSSMRG00000005681.1)". Lineage: Eukaryota; Metazoa; Chordata; Lepidosauria; Squamata; Teiidae. The record is from RNAcentral.
UAUAAAACCAAGCCAGCUGAAAGAAAAAUUAUACAUUAUACAUGAAGACAGUGGUGGACUUAGCGAUGAACAGAUUACAGCACUAAGAAGAUAUCAACCGACUGCAAAGGACAUAAAAAUGUAUAUGUCAUUCAAAGGAACCCCUUCAGAACUCCAUCUGGUGGAUCAAUUUAUGCUAGAAAUGUGCAAAAUACCUAAUUUAUGUCAAACACUUGACCUUCUUCAUUCUGUUCGUGA